This 379-nucleotide unclassified non-coding RNA is filed under the name soil metagenome. Its description in RNAcentral is "partial contains 5.8S ribosomal RNA, internal transcribed spacer 2, and large subunit ribosomal RNA". The stretch from base 1 to 120 matches the Rfam family "5.8S ribosomal RNA", at positions 35 to 154 of the family's 154-position model. The record is from RNAcentral.
GAUGAAGAACGUAGCGAAAUGCGAUAAGUAAUGUGAAUUGCAGAAUUCAGUGAAUCAUCGAAUCUUUGAACGCACCUUGCACCCUUUGGCAUUCCGAAGGGUAUGCUCGUUUGAGUGUCAUUGUACUUUCACACUUCCAAUCUUUGGAUUGGGAGCAGUGGACUUGGGUGUUGCUGCUUACUGUGGCUCACCUCAAAUCGAUUCGUGCACCUCUUGGUUGGACAUAGUACGGCGUGAUAAGUGUCUUCGCCGGCACCUCAGUAGAGGGUGGCUGAUCAGGAGCUCUGUGCUUCAAACCGUCCUCGGACAACAACUGACAACUUGACCUCAAAUCGAGUAGGACUACCCGCUGAACUUAAGCAUAUCAAUAAGCGGAGGA